GACAGAGGGUGCAAACGUUGUCCGGAUUUACUGGGCGUAAAGGGCUUGUAGGCGGUCCGCUAAGUCUGGUGUGAAAUCUCCCGGCUCAACUGGGAGGGGUCAUCGGAUACUGGCGGACUUGAGGGGGGUAGAGGAAAGCAGAAUUCCUGGUGUAGCGGUGAAAUGCGUAGAUAUCAGGAGGAAUACCAGUGGCGAAGGCGGCUUUCUGGGCCUACCCUGACGCUGAGGAGCGAAAGCGUGGGGAGCAAACCGG
RNAcentral lists this ribosomal RNA (253 nucleotides) under uncultured bacterium. RNAcentral's name for it is "partial 16S ribosomal RNA". It matches the Rfam family "Bacterial small subunit ribosomal RNA", at positions 524 to 776 of the family's 1533-position model. The record is from RNAcentral.